UGGGGAAUCUUGGACAAUGGGCGCAAGCCUGAUCCAGCCAUGCCGCGUGAGCGAUGAAGGCCUUAGGGUUGUAAAGCUCUUUCACCGGUGAAGAUAAUGACGGUAGCCGGAGAAGAAGCCCCGGCUAACUCCGUGCCAGCAGCCGCGGUAAUACGGAGGGGGCUAGCGUUGUUCGGAAUUACUGGGCGUAAAGCGCGCGUAGGCGGACUGAUCAGUCAGGGGUGAAAUCCCGGGGCUCAACCCCGGAACUGCCUUUGAUACUGUCAGUCUUGAGUCCGGAAGAGGCGAGUGGAAUACCGAGUGUAGAGGUGAAAUUCGUAGAUAUUCGGUGGAACACCAGUGGCGAAGGCGACUCGCUGGUCCGGUACUGACGCUGAGGUGCGAAAGUGUGGGGAGCAAACAGGAUUAGAUACCCUGGUAGUCCACACCGUAAACGAUGAAUGCCAGUCGUCGGGUAGCAUGCUAUUCGGUGA
Molecule: ribosomal RNA, 473 nt
Filed under: uncultured bacterium
Lineage: Bacteria
Description: bacterial SSU rRNA
Rfam family: Bacterial small subunit ribosomal RNA
Source: RNAcentral